CCUACGGGAGGCAGCAGUAGGGAAUCUUCCACAAUGGGCGAAAGCCUGAUGGAGCAACGCCGCGUGGGUGAAGAAGGUCUUCGGAUCGUAAAACCCUGUUGUUAGAGAAGAAAGUGCGUGAGAGUAACUGUUCACGUUUCGACGGUAUCUAACCAGAAAGCCCCGGCUAACUACGUGCCAGCAGCCGCGGUAAUACGGAGGUGGCAAGCGUUUUCCGGAGUUAUUGGGCGUAGAGGUAACGCAGGCGGACUUUUAAGUCUGAUGUGAAAGCCUUCGGCUUAACCGGAGUAGUGCAUUGGAGACUGUGAGACUUGAGUGCAGAAGAGGUGAGUGGAACUCCAUGUGUAGCGGUGAAAUGCGUAGAUAUAUGGAAGAACACCAGUGGCGAAAGCGGCUCACUGGGAUGUAACUGACGCUGAGGUUCGAAAGCGUGGGUAGCAAACAGGAUUAGAUACCCCUGUAGUC
Molecule: ribosomal RNA, 465 nt
Filed under: uncultured bacterium
Lineage: Bacteria
Description: partial 16S ribosomal RNA
Rfam family: Bacterial small subunit ribosomal RNA
Source: RNAcentral